Molecule: ribosomal RNA, 253 nt
Filed under: uncultured bacterium
Lineage: Bacteria
Description: partial 16S ribosomal RNA
Rfam family: Bacterial small subunit ribosomal RNA
Source: RNAcentral
UACGUAGGGUGCGAGCGUUGCCCGGAUUUAUUGGGCGUAAAGGGCGCGCAGGCGGUCACGCACGUCCGUUGUGAAAUCGCUCGGCUCAACUGGGCGGGGUCAGCGGAUACGGCGUGACUGGAGCAAGCUAGGGGGCAAUGGAAUUCCCGGUGUAGUGGUGGAAUGCGUAGAUAUCGGGAGGAACACCAGUGGCGAAGGCGGUUGCCUGGAGCUUUGCUGACGCUGAGGCGCGAAAGCGUGGGGAGCGAACAGG